This 507-nucleotide long non-coding RNA is filed under the name Dromaius novaehollandiae (emu). RNAcentral describes it as "lncRNA (ENSDNVG00000012070.1)". Lineage: Eukaryota; Metazoa; Chordata; Aves; Casuariiformes; Dromaiidae. The record is from RNAcentral.
CCGGCGCRAGGCCUCGCCGGGCUUCGCGGCUGACCCUCUCCCCAACAGGGUCCMCCCGGCCGUGCCGGCCUCCCCGGCUCCGACGGGACCCCCGGACCCCCCGGCACCUCCAUGAUGCUGCCGGUGAGUGGGGCRGAGCGGGGUGGGACGCGCGGCUGGCGCGGCCGAAGCCGCGGUCUCUGCCGGGCGCGUGCGGAGGACGUCCGGGACGGCGGCCUCCCCGUCCCCGACGGCCUCCCUCUGCCUGUCGCAGUUCCGCUUCGGGAGCGGCGGCGGAGACAAGGGCCCCGUGGUGUCGGCGCAGGAGGCCCAGGCUCAAGCCAUCCUGCAGCAGGCCCGGCUGGCCCUCCGCGGCCCGCCGGGACCCAUGGGCUACACCGGCCGUCCCGGCCCCAUGGGGCAGCCUGGCAGCACCGGCAUGAAGGGCGAAUCCGGCGACUUCGGCCCCCAGGGUCCCCGAGGUCCUCAGGGCCUGACCGGACCCCCAGGAAAGCCUGGCCGGAGGGU